UAACCUGCCCCGGAGCGGGGGAUAACAUUUGGAAACAGAUGCUAAUACCGCAUAACAAUAAAAGCCGCAUGGCUUUUAUUUGAAAGAUGGCUUUGGCUAUCACUCUGGGAUGGACCUGCGGUGCAUUAGCUAGUUGGUAAGGUAACGGCUUACCAAGGCGAUGAUGCAUAGCCGAGUUGAGAGACUGAUCGGCCACAAUGGAACUGAGACGCGGUCCAUACUCCUACGGGAGGCAGCAG
This 239-nucleotide ribosomal RNA is filed under the name uncultured bacterium. RNAcentral describes it as "partial 16S ribosomal RNA". It matches the Rfam family "Bacterial small subunit ribosomal RNA", at positions 122 to 354 of the family's 1533-position model. The record is from RNAcentral.